Molecule: ribosomal RNA, 413 nt
Filed under: Staphylococcus sp.
Lineage: Bacteria; Bacillati; Bacillota; Bacilli; Caryophanales; Staphylococcaceae
Description: bacterial SSU rRNA
Rfam family: Bacterial small subunit ribosomal RNA
Source: RNAcentral
CAAAUCUUGACAUCCUUUGACCGCUCUAGAGAUAGAGUCUUCCCCUUCGGGGGACAAAGUGACAGGUGGUGCAUGGUUGUCGUCAGCUCGUGUCGUGAGAUGUUGGGUUAAGUCCCGCAACGAGCGCAACCCUUAAGCUUAGUUGCCAUCAUUAAGUUGGGCACUCUAGGUUGACUGCCGGUGACAAACCGGAGGAAGGUGGGGAUGACGUCAAAUCAUCAUGCCCCUUAUGAUUUGGGCUACACACGUGCUACAAUGGAUAAUACAAAGGGCAGCGAAUCCGCGAGGCCAAGCAAAUCCCAUAAAAUUAUUCUCAGUUCGGAUUGUAGUCUGCAACUCGACUACAUGAAGCUGGAAUCGCUAGUAAUCGUAGAUCAGCAUGCUACGGUGAAUACGUUCCCGGGCCUUGUACA